AAAGUGAAAGAUUCUAAACUAUUACAAACAUACAAAUAGUAUGAUUAACUUUUAACCAUAUACAUGCAUUCAACUUAUACAUUCUUUUUCUUUAAACAUCAUUGUUUCUCAUUACAUCACAUGAUCUUCCAAAAUAUGCCUUUUCAUUCAAACAUAAGCUCUCUUUACAUUUAACCAUCAUUCAUACAUCUAUAAUCAUCAAAGUACAAAAGAUGAUAUAUAUAGGGUAUGCAACUAAACAAAAUAUGAAUACCAUCUCGGGUGGUCCCUAUCUAUGGCGCGAUAUCUUUACUGCGAUCGUCGGCCGGCUCACUCGGUCCCGGCUCUGUAAAAAUAGUGGGAUGAGAACUACAACAAAGUUCCCAGUGGGUUCAGCCACUGACCUCGCCGACUUUCCCACUAUGUCUAAAUCAGGCAUAAUAGAAGAAUAAUAGGUAGAUAGUAACCGAACUAUACAAUGCAACUAAUAUGCCUGAACAAUAUAAUCAAU
Molecule: long non-coding RNA, 490 nt
Filed under: Ananas comosus (pineapple)
Lineage: Eukaryota; Viridiplantae; Streptophyta; Magnoliopsida; Poales; Bromeliaceae
Description: long non-coding RNA (ACOM_LNC020890)
Source: RNAcentral